Homo sapiens (human) is the source of this 388-nucleotide long non-coding RNA. Lineage: Eukaryota; Metazoa; Chordata; Mammalia; Primates; Hominidae. The record is from Ensembl.
GCAAGCAUGGAGCACUAGGCGCAGGGGAUGGGCAACUGGCAAGCGGGGAGAUGCAUGCAGCGCACUUAGUGCCUGGUACAUACCAAGUCCUUUUAGUCUGGAUUUCAUUAUUUUUAAAUGGGUAUUGCUAUUUUUAAAAGAAUAGUUACAAAUAUUUAUUGUGUGUUUUGAAAUAAGUGGGUCAAGAUCAAUAAGAUAUUGUUGAUCAAUUGAUCAAUAAGAUAUCUUUUAUUCUUAAAAAUCAUAUUCUUCUGGUUCAGUGGGGAAGAGACUGCCGACCUGUAUUUACAGCAUUAUGUGAUAAGUGUUCUCCUUUUCAGGUAUGUAUUAGUCUGUUCUCAUGCUGUCAAUAAAGACAUACCUGAGACUGGGUAAUUUAUAAAGGAAA